This 274-nucleotide ribosomal RNA is filed under the name uncultured bacterium. RNAcentral's name for it is "partial 16S ribosomal RNA". It matches the Rfam family "Bacterial small subunit ribosomal RNA", at positions 523 to 796 of the family's 1533-position model. The record is from RNAcentral.
AUACGGAGGGGACUAGCGUUGUUCGGAUUUACUGGGCGUAAAGCGCGCGUAGGCGGUUUGGAAAGUCAGAUGUGAAAUCCCAGGGCUCAACCCUGGAACUGCAUUUGAAACUAUCAGACUAGAGAUUAGGAGAGGUAAGUGGAAUUCCGAGUGUAGAGGUGAAAUUCGUAGAUAUUCGGAGGAACACCAGAGGCGAAGGCGACUUACUGGACCAAUACUGACGCUGAGGUGCGAAAGCGUGGGGAGCAAACAGGAUUAGAAACCCUAGUAGUCC